GGCUCGAUAGCGAACGGUCCACCUCUGCACUUGUAUGGAGGUUUUUGCCUUUACGAAAUCUGCUGCAGAAAAUCCCUGUUCGACUCGGGGUCGAGCCA
Molecule: non-coding RNA, 98 nt
Organism: Mycena vulgaris
Lineage: Eukaryota; Fungi; Basidiomycota; Agaricomycetes; Agaricales; Mycenaceae
Source: the annotation of a GenBank genome assembly